AGGCGGUUAGCUCAGCUGGUUAGAGCGCAACGUUGACAUCGUUGAGGUCGCUGGUUCGAUUCCAGUACCGCCUACCA
Molecule: transfer RNA, 77 nt
Filed under: Kistimonas scapharcae
Lineage: Bacteria; Pseudomonadati; Pseudomonadota; Gammaproteobacteria; Oceanospirillales; Endozoicomonadaceae
Also listed under: 2 other names
Description: tRNA-Val
Rfam family: tRNA
About the family: Transfer RNA (tRNA) molecules are approximately 80 nucleotides in length. Their secondary structure includes four short double-helical elements and three loops (D, anti-codon, and T loops).
Source: RNAcentral